This 465-nucleotide ribosomal RNA is filed under the name Vreelandella stevensii. RNAcentral's name for it is "partial 16S ribosomal RNA". It matches the Rfam family "Bacterial small subunit ribosomal RNA", at positions 338 to 795 of the family's 1533-position model. Lineage: Bacteria; Pseudomonadati; Pseudomonadota; Gammaproteobacteria; Oceanospirillales; Halomonadaceae. The record is from RNAcentral.
CCUACGGGAGGCUGCAGUGGGGAAUAUUGGACAAUGGGCGAAAGCCUGAUCCAGCCAUGCCGCGUGUGUGAAGAAGGCCUUCGGGUUGUAAAGCACUUUCAGUGGGGAAGAAAGCCUUGGGGCUAAUACCCUCGAGGAAGGACAUCACCCACAGAAGAAGCACCGGCUAACUCCGUGCCAGCAGCCGCGGUAAUACGGAGGGUGCGAGCGUUAAUCGGAAUUACUGGGCGUAAAGCGCGCGUAGGCGGUCUGAUAAGCCGGUUGUGAAAGCCCCGGGCUCAACCUGGGAACGGCAUCCGGAACUGUCAGGCUAGAGGGCAGGAGAGGAAGGUAGAAUUCCCGGUGUAGCGGUGAAAUGCGUAGAGAUCGGGAGGAAUACCAGUGGCGAAGGCGGCCGUCUGGACUGACACUGACGCUGAGGUGCGAAAGCGUGGGUAGCAAACAGGAUUAGAUACCCUGGUAGUC